RNAcentral lists this transfer RNA (59 nucleotides) under Chloropicon primus. It matches the Rfam family "tRNA", at positions 10 to 67 of the family's 71-position model. Rfam says of the family: Transfer RNA (tRNA) molecules are approximately 80 nucleotides in length. Their secondary structure includes four short double-helical elements and three loops (D, anti-codon, and T loops). The record is from RNAcentral. Lineage: Eukaryota; Viridiplantae; Chlorophyta; Chloropicophyceae; Chloropicales; Chloropicaceae.
GUCUAGUGGUAUGAUUCUCGCUUUGGGUGCGAGAGGUCCGGGGUUCGAUUCCCUGUUGU